AAGGCACUGGAACAUGAGUUCAUCAUCUAGAAAAGUUAUUUUCUGUUCAUAUUUUUCUCCAGUUUAUGAUUAUGAAAAGAGAUGAAGAAAUCCCUUUAAGUACAUACAAUAGACUGAAAAUUCUUAAAUUGAUACCAUGAUAAACAUUUGAUCAAGUGCAACCUGAAGGGCAAUGUUCAAGUAUUCAAAGGUCCAAUAAAUUGAGCAACAGGCAGCCAAAAAUACAGUAUAUAUUUAAAAACAGACUUCAAAUUUUUCAGCUAAAUUCAAGAGCAAUUCCAACAUGUAAACAGACAUUGUAGCCAAAAAUGAGGUUAUCGUUUUAUAAAUCUCAUUUAACACUUUACAUUGUAUUAGGAUGCACAUACUGGGGAUAAAGAUAUUUAUUCAUUUCCAUUGAGAAACUCCACUACCUUCCUAAAACGGAAGCCCAUUGAUUACUUUACUUUUCUGCUUAACAUUAAUCCUGUUCAUAUAAACUGCAUAUAUACAUGUUUUUUUUCUGUGUAAUUUCAACUACAUCAUUUUUUGAAAGUAACAGGUUCAUUGGCAUAAGAGCUGCAAACAAAAGGAGACUGAAAUCAGAAAAAGAUUUGGACAUUAAUAUUGCUACAUCAGCAAACACAAGUGCCAGCAACUCUGGCUCAUCAAAAGAGUAAUCUUUCUAUCUAUAGAUUAAAUGUAGGUGUUUUCAUGUAUUUAGAUGUUAUCCGUAACAGCAUAGUGGAAUCUUGGAUUAUUUUUGAAAAUGAGGAAUAAAAUUUGUCAAAAUUAAUUAAAUAUCUUCUAAUUAAAAUAUGAAACGCAAUAACAUUAUGAAAUCAAUACAAUCCUUUCAUUUUUCAAAAUUUGAAUUUUUCAUCCAUCAUUUUAUUCUUGACAAUUUCAGAUACAAUGGAAUUUAUAUGGCACACAGCUGCAGAAAAAUUUGCAGCCUCUAUAUGAGUUGAGUCGUUUUGUAUAAUCCACUGUGUAUGCUAUAAAAUUGUGUACCACAGUUCUGAUGAGACUAAAAAUAUAGCACAUCUAAGACGCAGAGAAAAUCCAAAAAGCUGGAUGCAUGUAACAGUGAAAAGAGACAUUUCUAAUGCUUGAGCACAAACUAGCCUUCAAGUUCCAAACUGCUUGCCAGCAUUUCAGAGAGCCCACAACAACCAGCAGCCAAAACAGAAGGAAAACCUGCAGGCUGCCUGUAAUGAGGGGGCUUCAAAAAUCAGAAGAGCACCUUAAUUAGUUGCAGUAUAACUUCUUCCCUGAGAAAAACAAAGUAGAUUAUGUGAAAAGGUGCUACUACAUUAUGAUUUCAGUCUCAAAACAGAAGCUUGAUCUAGUUGUUUCAUUAGCCCGUGACAACAGGCUGGACUCCAUGUUAAUCAGCUUCUUCAAAGCCUCCAUUUUUAAGUAAAUGAAAUUCCUUGUCCGUUGGCUAUGGCAGGCAGGUUUUGUAUAGGACAAUGCUUUGAAAGUUCCCCAGAAAUCCAGGUCCUUUUAACUUCCAGAUUUCCAACUUUUUUUAGUUCUUAGGCCUGCAGCAUUGUAGCUUUAAUUUAUGUUAAUUAAUGAUUGGAUUAUGCUACUGUUGCCAAAGCAUCUGAUAUGUCUGCAUCGCUCCUCUGUUCUGUGACAAUGCCUUCAGUGAUUAGCUGGGCACAUUUAAACAUUGUUUGCACUGAUGCAUAAAUUUCCAUGCUGCUUUUGAGCAAGAAGAUAGUGGCAAAAGCUUUGAGUAUGCAGCAGACAGAGCUGAGUACAGUGCAUCGAUAGUGGAUUAGUAGGCACUGCUCCACAGUGGAGAGAGAAAACAUUAAAUGUUCUUCACUGCUAGCUAUACUGGAGAUUGUUUACAAAUAGUAAUAACCUUCAGGUCUGUCUUUUCAAUUUAACUCAUUCAUUAGUAGUCACAUCAGUUUUAUCUAUUCGCAUGCUUAGUUUCUGUAUUAUAUUGAUUUGCAGCAAUUCCCUCAGUUCUGUCACCUCGAUGCUGUACUCUCAGACUACAAACUUAAGUAUGUUUUGUUAUGUGACUGUUAUUAUAUUUCUAUAUAUCUUCCCUUUUUUAUCUGGGAGGGUAAAAAUCAUGAUAAAAAGUUCCGACUAACUUAGGAGUCUAAAUUUCAUUUUUAGACACAAUUUAAGCACCAUGAAGCCUUUGAUUCACAAUUAAAUGAAUAUAUAUUACGUGUAUAUGGAAAAAGACUUGGUCAAGGCAAUGAAACACAUCCUUCCUCUCCAGGUUGGAUAUCUAUAACAUUUGGAGCUCAUCUACGAAGGAGGCAUAAGCCCCAGUAACCAACAUGCUACUUGACCUGAGCUGGGAAUCAACACAUUUUUUGAACUUCUUUCAUCAUCUGGGAGUAAAGAAGCAUCCAGCAGAAUUAAUUUAGCAAGUUUCUCCACUAAGCUUGCAAAGAAAGAGUCUAGAGAAUAGAGAUCCUUCGGAUCCUGCAGUCAUGGUUCCCUAAACCCAGGGACAAAGGAAGAAAUGAAGACAAUUCUGACUUUCACUGAAAGAAAUUCUGGCAAAUUACCACUGCAAGACAGCCAGGAAAAUUUAUUAUUUAUACCUCACCAGUACACAGGUUCCACUAUGUAUGCCUUUUCCAAAUGAAAGUAGCUCUGUAUGGCAUGGACAUUUGUAUAGCAAAAUAUAUUAAAUAAAAAAAAUCUAACAAUUAGUACCCCUAAAAAUGAAGCAGCCACAAGCACCUUCUGAGUCUACUGGAAGUCUCCAGAUUGUCUGCAAUCUGCCUUUGCUUUCUUGCAAAAGGAUAGAAGGAUAAUAACAUCACUUGGUAAAGUUGAUAAAUAAAUGGAAAGAAAGUCUUUAAACAGCAUUGGACAACAUGCAAAUGGAGAGAGUAGGACAGAAGGAGAGAGAGAUUUCCCCCACCACCAAAUACAGAAGUGUUGGGGUAUAGAGCUCAAAAUCUUCCAAGUAGAAGAAACCUCUUACACAAAAACACAUUUUUUUUUCCCAGAAGUGUAAUGCAAAUCCUAUAAUCCUAACAUACAACAUUCAUUCCAAAUUUGAGCAUACUGCUAAAGCAGCUGUGAAAACCUGGUGAACUUGAGAUGAAAAGAGCCACACUGAUGAGCUGUCGGCAGCAGCAGCAGCCUCACAGCAAUGGGGAGAGAGUGCAGACAGGUGCUGGGCUGCACAGCUGCGGCUCCUGCAGGUGACCUUGGCUUAUGCUAGUAGUGCCUAUGGGGCUGCAGUGAGACCUAACAUCUGCCUCUACUCACUGGUGAACAUAUACUUGGGACCCUUUCUUCUGCUUUAGCACCUCUGUGAUCACUCUCAGUGCCUUGCAAGAAGUUGCCAUGGGGACAAGGUCUGCAAGAAGAUGACCUGAAACUGGGCACUGAGAUCAGUAUCUGAUCUUAACUCUGUGUCAUAAAGUCAUUCAAAGUUGAAGUCUGCUGAGAUAAAAGGCAGAUGUGUAGCCCAAGUUGGAUACACAUGCAGCAGCUCUCACCAGGGUGAGGAGGGGGGCUGGUCUCAAUCAGCAGAAGCUUGCAAUUAUCUUUACUGAGGAAAUUAUUUUAAAAUUGAAAUAAAUUGCUCAAAAAAAUUAAAUCUUCAUAAUACAUGACUUAUUCCUGUUUUCUGUAUGUUAUUUAAGUUUCAAUAAUUAAAGCUGUUCAGUUCCCAUCUCA
Long non-coding RNA from Numida meleagris (helmeted guineafowl), 3657 nucleotides. RefSeq lists it as uncharacterized. NCBI's taxonomy places the organism in Eukaryota, Metazoa, Chordata, Aves, Galliformes, Numididae. The record is from RefSeq and is a predicted model, not a curated record. The transcript has 2 exons.